AGCAUGUGGUUUAAUUCGAUGAUACGCGAGGAACCUUACCUGGGCUCAAAUGUAUGUUGACGUAUUCUGAAAGGGAUACUUCUUCGGACAAUAUACAAGGUGCUGCAUGGUUGUCGUCAGCUCGUGCCGUGAGGUGUCGGGUUAAGUCCCAUAACGAGCGCAACCCCUAUCAUUAGUUGCCAUCAGGUUAAGCUGGGGACUCUAAAGGAACUGCCUACGCAAGUAGUGAGGAAGGCGGGGAUGACGUCAAAUCAGCACGGCCCUUACGUCCAGGGCUACACACGUGCUACAAUGGCCGAUACAGAGGGCAGCUACCUGGUGACAGGAUGCAAAUCUCCAAAGUCGGUCUCAGUUCGGAUCGGAGUCUGCAACCCGACUCCGUGAAGUUGGAUUCGCUAGUAAUCGCGCAUCAGCCAUGGCGCGGUGAAUACGUUCCCGGGCCUU
Molecule: ribosomal RNA, 444 nt
Filed under: uncultured Sphingobacteriales bacterium
Lineage: Bacteria; Pseudomonadati; Bacteroidota; Sphingobacteriia; Sphingobacteriales
Description: bacterial SSU rRNA
Rfam family: Bacterial small subunit ribosomal RNA
Source: RNAcentral